GGAUGUGAGGGCGAUCUGACUGCGACACCUGUCACCCCAUUGGUUGCCAGGGUUGAUUCAGCUGAACUGGCUGGCUAGGCAGUCGUCCCUCCUCCCUCACUGAUCCAUGUGCAUGUGCGUCCCUCCUGAAGCUGCAUCCUCCGUGGAAGAGGACGACUGACCCCCUCCCUACCCCCUCCUCCCCAGGAGAGGACUGGUCUUCGGUCAAGGGUAUACGUAGCUGUGCUCCCUGCUGGAACCUCCAAACAAGUGCUCACCAUCCAUCUGUAGGAGAACAUAGGCUAGUCAAGCUUCCAAGGCUCCAGACACAUGCAAACGAGGGCUGCACGUGGCAGCCUGCCUUUAUUU
Unclassified non-coding RNA from Myotis lucifugus (little brown bat), 348 nucleotides. Its record names the gene 7SK. It matches the Rfam family "7SK RNA". Rfam says of the family: 7SK was discovered as an abundant small nuclear RNA in the mid-70s but a possible function has only recently been suggested. Two independent studies have found that 7SK RNA binds the CDK9/cyclin T complex (known as elongation factor P-TEFb). Lineage: Eukaryota; Metazoa; Chordata; Mammalia; Chiroptera; Vespertilionidae. The record is from Ensembl.